GAGACGGAUCUCUUUGAGGCCCGUUAUCGGAAUGAGAACAAUUCAAAUCCUUUAACGAGGAUCUAGCGGAGGGCAAGUCUGGUGCCAGCAGCCGCGGUAAUUCCAGCUCCGCAGGUGUAUAUCUAUGCUGCUGCGGUUAAAAAGCUCGUAGUUGGAUCUGCGUGCUCGGAACCGGUUGGCUCACUGAGUCCAAACUGGUCUCCGGCAUUUUAUCGGCUGGUUUUCCCUUGAUGCUCUUAACCGGGUGUCUAGGGAGGCUAGCACGUUUACUUUGAAAAAAAUUAGAGUGCUCAAUACAGGCGCAAUGCCUUGAAUAGUGGUGCAUGGAAUAAUAGAAAAGGACUUCGGUUCUAUUUUGUUGGUUUUCGGAAACACGAGGUAAUGAUUAAGAGGGAACAGACGGGGGCAUUCGUAUUGCUGCGUUAGAGGUGAAAUUCUUGGAAUCGUAGCAAGACGAACGACUGCGAAGGCAUUUGCCAA
This 480-nucleotide ribosomal RNA is filed under the name Setosabatieria sp. RNAcentral describes it as "SSU rRNA". It matches the Rfam family "Eukaryotic small subunit ribosomal RNA", at positions 482 to 961 of the family's 1831-position model. The record is from RNAcentral. Lineage: Eukaryota; Metazoa; Nematoda; Chromadorea; Araeolaimida; Comesomatidae.